Molecule: long non-coding RNA, 1084 nt
Organism: Hypomesus transpacificus
Lineage: Eukaryota; Metazoa; Chordata; Actinopteri; Osmeriformes; Osmeridae
Exons: 3
Source: RefSeq, a predicted model, not a curated record
CAUUAAGAAAAUACGUUUAGAUCAUAUGUACAACCAUGGAAAGGUAUGAAUUACAGGUAGCUAGAGAUUUAUAUUAAACAUCUGUCUGAUAAAGUAUUGGAAUUCAAGUUCAGAAAAGGAAGGACACAUGGCAGAGGCCGGACAACACAAUGAGUUUAAACUCAGGGUACCAGAGAGGCUUGUGGUGGCUGAUGAGGGAGAGGAUGUUACCCUCUCAUGUCACCUCUCUCCUGAGACCAGCGCUGCUGCCAUGACGAUCAGGUGGUUUAAUAAGACAGAGUGUAUUUACCUGUAUAAGAAUGGCCAGGUGAUAGAGGGGAGGGGCUAUGAGGGCAGAGUGAGUCUGGUCACCCAGGUGCUGAAGAGAGGCAACUUGUCUCUGAGGCUGAGAGACUACAAGCAUGAGUCAGAUGAAGGAGUGUACAUCUGUCAGGUCACCUCUGGAGGACAGAAGGAGGAGGAUACUGUGGGUCUAUGGAACAGACGUAAGUGUUCUACAGCUACAGAACAUGAUUAUGAACAUCUCUACAUGAACUAUGACAACACAGUCUCUCUGUCUGUACAGAUACAAUUAUACUUUCACAUGUAAGUCUGAGUUAGAGCAUUAGAGGUGUUCUGACUUAGCUGGUUAUGCUGCCCAAUUCUAACCCCUCUAUACUUUAAGCUUGUAGACAUGUACAGUAUUGGAAGAGACAGGCUCACAUCACUUAGUAGUGAUGCACAUUAGUGAAGAAUAUGAUGAACAAACAAUGCACUCAAAUGCAUAUGACAUCACUUAAUAUUAUUACUUGAUUUUGUGAAAGAUGAUUAUUCUGAGAUGUUAUAUUCUCUCAGUAAAACAUUCAAUGCUGUAGUCUAUAUGUGGAGAUGAAGAACAGUCAUCCUCUUCAUGAAAGAGCCUGAACACAGAACACAGGAGCUCCAUAGAUUACACUGAUGGAUGUUGAUAUAGGACUACUGACAUAGAGCAGCGGUAGCUGUCGGAGAAAUUUAGAAUGGAACAUUAUAUCCUGAAAAUACUGGUGCUAGCAUUCCUUGCCAGCAGAGAACCCUCUCCCCACAUGACCUAUAGAUGACACUAGGC